GUGAGGUUUCCUCUUUUCUCCAUGCUUUCCUAGGGCAGAGGGAGGGCUUCUCCUGGCCCUGCUGUAGACCUAUGUGAUCCCCCAUUGCUGUGGUUUCCCUCAGGCAGUGCCCUGCCUGGCUGUUGCCACUGGCCACAACUGAAUGUCUUGGAUGCAGCUUUCUUUCCCCAGUUCUCUUUGCUUGUAGCGAAUGAUUUUGGUUGUGUCCUUCACUGCUGAGAGCCACUUCCACCUGACCUUGGACACAGUGACAAUGUUUGCUGCCAUGCUGACCAGAGGCAGGUUUUCAGAGACAUCUGGAGACUGGAAGGUACAAUGGCAGCAGAAGAAGGAGGAAGCCCAGGCUGCUCACAUUGCUGUCAUGCUCACCUACAGUGACACUGCACUGCAUGCCCCAGGAAGCAUCUUCUGGGCUGUGUGGAUGCAGACAUCUUGGGCAAGAUCCUGCUGUUUUCUAGAGCCAGCCAACAGGUGGGAGCACAGGGCAUGCAGGGAUAAGGGCCGACUGGAUGCCCAGCUCCAGCCUGUGGGGGUGGUGGCAUAACAAGAUGGCAUCUUUCUGAUGAUCCCAGAGGAACGGUUUACACUGAAUUUGCAGUCCAAACCAUUCUUUAGAUUCUCCACAGUCCAGGUACCUUCCACCCCUCAUCCCUUCAAGUAGUUCAAAAAGUACUUUGUUUUGUUGUCCUCAGGACUCUCAGCUAAAGCUUGCCUUGGUGCAGAGUAUCACUGAGGUCAGCUGCUC
Molecule: long non-coding RNA, 745 nt
Filed under: Gallus gallus (chicken)
Lineage: Eukaryota; Metazoa; Chordata; Aves; Galliformes; Phasianidae
Description: long non-coding RNA NONGGAT003025
Source: RNAcentral